GACGAACGCUGGCGGCGUGCCUAAUACAUGCAAGUAGAACGCUGAAGGAGGAGCUUGCUCUUCUGGAUGAGUUGCGAACGGGUGAGUAACGCGUAGGUAACCUGCCUGGUAGCGGGGGAUAACUAUUGGAAACGAUAGCUAAUACCGCAUAACAGUAGAUGUUGCAUGACAUUUACUUAAAAGGUGCAAUUGCAUCACUACCAGAUGGACCUGCGUUGUAUUAGCUAGUUGGUGGGGUAACGGCUCACCAAGGCGACGAUACAUAGGCGACCUGAGAGGGUGAUCGGCCACACUGGGACUGAGACACGGCCCAGACUCCUACGGGAGGCAGCAGUAGGGAAUCUUCGGCAAUGGACGGAAGUCUGACCGAGCAACGCCGCGUGAGUGAAGAAGGUUUUCGGAUCGUAAAGCUCUGUUGUAAGAGAAGAACGAGUGUGAGAGUGGAAAGUUCACACUGUGACGGUAUCUUACCAGAAAGGGACGGCUAACUACGUG
Molecule: ribosomal RNA, 495 nt
Filed under: uncultured bacterium
Lineage: Bacteria
Description: partial 16S ribosomal RNA
Rfam family: Bacterial small subunit ribosomal RNA
Source: RNAcentral